GGGUGAGUAACGCAUAGGAAUUUACCCGGUAGUGGGGGAUAACCUGGGGAAACCCAGGCUAAUACCGCAUACGUCCUACGGGAGAAAGGGGGCUUUGGCUCCCGCUAUCGGAUGAGCCUAUGCCGGAUUAGCUGGUUGGUGAGGUAAUGGCUCACCAAGGCGACGAUCCGUAGCUGGUCUGAGAGGAUGAUCAGCCACAUCGGGACUGAGACACGGCCCGAACUCCUACGGGAGGCAGCAGUGGGGAAUAUUGGACAAUGGGGGCAACCCUGAUCCAGCCAUGCCGCGUGUGUGAAGAAGGCCCUCGGGUUGUAAAGCACUUUCAGCGAGGAAGAACGCCUAUCGGUUAAUACCCGGUAGGAAAGACAUCACUCGCAGAAGAAGCACCGGCUAACUCCGUGCCAGCAGCCGCGGUAAUACGGAGGGUGCAAGCGUUAAUCGGAAUUACUGGGCGUAAAGCGCGCGUAGGUGGCUUGAUAAGCCGGUUGUGAAAGCCCCGGGCUCAACCUGGGAACGGCAUCCGGAACUAUUAGGCUAGAGUGCAGGAGAGGAAGGUAGAAUUCCCGGUGUAGCGGUGAAAUGCGUAGAGAUCGGGAGGAAUACCAGUGGCGAAGGCGGCCUUCUGGACUGACACUGACACUGAGGUGCGAAAGCGUGGGUAGCAAACAGGAUUAGAUACCCUGGUAGUCCACGCCGUAAACGAUGUCGACCAGCCGUUGGGUGCCUAGCGCAC
Molecule: ribosomal RNA, 733 nt
Filed under: Halomonas sp. NH9
Lineage: Bacteria; Pseudomonadati; Pseudomonadota; Gammaproteobacteria; Oceanospirillales; Halomonadaceae
Description: bacterial SSU rRNA
Rfam family: Bacterial small subunit ribosomal RNA
Source: RNAcentral